This 45-nucleotide non-coding RNA is filed under the name Schistosoma haematobium. Lineage: Eukaryota; Metazoa; Platyhelminthes; Trematoda; Strigeidida; Schistosomatidae. The record is from RNAcentral.
AUUCAGUCGACGGGUCCCAAAUAGGACGAAAUGCGAGUCCUUAAU